Molecule: long non-coding RNA, 2200 nt
Organism: Dama dama (fallow deer)
Lineage: Eukaryota; Metazoa; Chordata; Mammalia; Artiodactyla; Cervidae
Exons: 4
Source: RefSeq, a predicted model, not a curated record
GCGAGGCCGAGCCUCAGGACUGUCUCCUCAGGCUUCUUGGAGGCCACCAGCAGACAACAGCUCAGGACGCUGAAAAUGAUGCGUCGAGUGAAGGGCCAGCAACCCAGCUCCAGUUGCAGCACCGCGGGAUCGACACGCUCUAUUCCCCUGCACCUGAGGGGCCCAGUGUUCCAAAAAUGUCAGGACUGGUCUGAACUGUGAAACCUGAAGGAACCGCCCCUCCGGGAGGGAUUGGCGUCCUCGGGAGGGUGAAGCUCCUGUCCAGGAGGAUUGUUUCAGCAUCAGUGCAGAAGGAAGAGGAGCCAAGAGGGAGCCUUUGGUAGUGGGUUUUGUCAUACAUUGAUAUGAAUCAGCCAUAGAUUUACACGUAAGAAUCCCGCGUCUUAUCUUAUCGUUCAGCAACAACCUUUCAUCUUGGGGGCUCGUCCGGGAUCCUCCAGGACAAGAUGGGAGCUAACAAUUCCAGCCUCACUCCUUUGAACUGUAUCCUGAAAAACUGGGAUAGAGUUGAUUCCCAGGGCUUAAAGAAGACACACCUGGUCUUCCUAUGUGAUACUGCAUGGCCGCGGUACCCACUGGAGGACGGCGAACGGUGGCCAGUUGGAAGGUCUCUUAAGCAUUAACAGAACUCCGGGAGACGACUCCUGACCCAGCCUCUGAAUCCAGCAAGCCUCUAUUUGAGCCAGGAACCGAGGUCCUCAUAAAAACAUUGGGAUCUGGGGGCCCAUCCCUUGAGCCCCUCUGGGAAGGCCCUUACCAGAUGGGCCUGAUAAUCUAUGUGAGCCUACUUCUGCUGACUCCAAAAAUCCUGAGUCUGCCGUUUGAUCCUCGGGACAAUGCCUUCCUGUCCUGGGCUCACUCCUAUGCUGCAUUCCACAAUCGGUCUAACUGCUGGGUCUGCGGAGCACUCCCCACUUCAUCGGUGGAAGGCUUCCCGUGGUGGACAUCUCCACUUGAAGGAAAAGACUUUCUCCAAGUCUGCGAAUACCUUCAACAACAAUCACAUGUGAUGCCUCUCCUUAAACUGAUGACAUCUAACAACCUUAAGAUGGACUGAUGUAACUAUGUAACAACCUUAAGAUGGACUGAAGUAACUAUGUGACUUUUCAUUUUGAUUUUAACUUGGUUUUAAUGACUAUUUUGCCUUACAUCUGUAACUAUAUAAUGGGGUUUUCUAACCAUCUAAAAGCUUUUAAUUUACAAAUAGUUGUCCGAGUGCCACAGCCUCCUCCAACUAUUACUUGGAGCCCCUGGAUCAGACAUCCUCACUAUGAGGAUUAGGAGAAUAUGUUGCCUCACCAAUUUAGGGACAACGCCCCUUGUCAGCUUGGAAGCAGUUAUGGAAUGAGAACGACACCCCUUUUCCCUAGGCAACAUAAUUCUCCUAAAAGAAAAGGGGGGAAUGAGAGUCAUUUCCUAGGCAAGUUGAUAAGAAGUCUAGGGAUCCCCAAGGAGAGAGAGGUCUGGGAUAUUCAAGGAGGAAAAAAGGACAAACUUUUUUACUUUUUUUCCUCUACAUUCCUUAGGAUUAUACAACAAUAAUGUAUCCUGCCUGAGGACAGUCUAAACCCUCUGGCUAAUUCUGUUAUCUUAAAACAUAAAUUAUGGGAGUAGGUCUGGUCUUUACAAGGAUGUAUCCUGCCUGAGGACAAUCUUUGGAUUAAACCUUCUGGCCAACUCUGUUAUCUUAAAAUGUAAAUUAUGGGAGUGGGUCUGGUGAGGUCUUUACAACCUCCAGACAUUCUUUGGAUUCAUUGGAGAGUAUAUAACUCCAUUGCUAACCCUAGCAAAGGGGGUACUCUUUUGCCCCCUUCUGAUGCCUAUGUCAGAAGCUUUCUCUAUCUCCUUUAUACUUUAAUAAAACUUUAUUACACACACACACACACACACACACACACACACAAAACAAAACCUUGAGUUAACCAAUACAUUUCUUUUUCUUAUGGAAAUGUUGUCUUAAGCUAUGACUAUCUUCAAGUUGGUUCGCCAAAUGGCCCAACCUACUUACUCAGAUUGUGAGUGACUAUAUAACAAUAAUGUAUCCUGCCUGAGGACAGUCUUUGGAUUAAACCCUCUGGCUAAUUCUGUUAUCUUAAAACAUAAAUUAUGGGAGUAGGUCUAGUCUUUACAAGGAUGUAUCCUGCCUGAGGACAAUCUUUGGAUUAAACCUUCUGGCCAACUCUGUUAUCUUAAAAUGUAA